Molecule: ribosomal RNA, 497 nt
Filed under: uncultured bacterium
Lineage: Bacteria
Description: partial 16S ribosomal RNA
Rfam family: Bacterial small subunit ribosomal RNA
Source: RNAcentral
GACGAACGCUGGCGGCGUGCCUAAUACAUGCAAGUUGAGCGCUGAAGGUUGGUACUUGUACCAACUGGAUGAGCAGCGAACGGGUGAGUAACGCGUGGGGAAUCUGCCUUUGAGCGGGGGACAACAUUUGGAAACGAAUGCUAAUACCGCAUAAAAACUUUAAACACAAGUUUUAAGUUUGAAAGAUGCAAUUGCAUCACUCAAAGAUGAUCCCGCGUUGUAUUAGCUAGUUGGUGAGGUAAAGGCUCACCAAGGCGAUGAUACAUAGCCGACCUGAGAGGGUGAUCGGCCACAUUGGGACUGAGACACGGCCCAAAAUCCUACGGGAGGCAGCAGUAGGGAAUCUUCGGCAAUGGACGAAAGUCUGACCGAGCAACGCCGCGCGAGUGAAGAAGGUUUUCGGAUCGUAAAACUCUGUUGGUAGAGAAGAACGUUGGUGAGAGUGGAAAGCUCAUCAAGUGACGGUAACUACCCAGAAAGGGACGGCUAACUACGUG